This 71-nucleotide transfer RNA is filed under the name Batracomorphus lateprocessus. RNAcentral's name for it is "tRNA-Lys". Lineage: Eukaryota; Metazoa; Arthropoda; Insecta; Hemiptera; Cicadellidae. The record is from RNAcentral. RNAcentral also lists the same sequence under 1 other name.
CAUUAAGAAUCUUAAAGUAAGAAUUGGUCUCUUAAACCAAAAUUUAGUAAUAUAACAAUUACUCUUAAUGA